UUCUGAAGACCACAGAAAGCAUCAAACCGAGACUAAAAGUUUUUUAGUUUACAGUGUGUGGAUAGAUUCGAAGGAUUCAGGAAGCUGGACAGGAAAGGAAAUCAUACACUGAGUUUCUUAAGCUCUCUUUGGCUAAACCAUUCCACAACCAUGAAUGUAGAUGAGGUGUCCUCCCUCCUAUAGUUACUAGAUGUCCCUGGGAUUGUGUCACCAACAAAAAACCAUGCUUUUCCAUGGCACAUUUCACCUUGCACAUAUCAAAACCUCUCUAUCCACCCCUACUCUGCAGUUACAUGGAUCAGAGCUCACUCUCCAUUACAUAUAAUUGGCAUUCUUCUGUCCACUGACAUCCCUAUGACCUCAGUGACCAACUCCUGGGCACCUCUGAGCAUUGCAGUCAUUCUGUAACUGAAUAGUAAAGUUGCAGGUUCUAUGCUGGUGACAUAGUAAUAGUCAUUGCUUCUCAGGUUUUUAUGUUUAUAUUGGUUAGUGACAAAGAGAUAAGUUAGAUCAGGUCAGCACACAGGAUAGAUCUUGAUUAGCUAGGACAUAGCACCCUGUGGUCUGUACCCCAGGGUCUUUAAAAACUGUAUACCUAAGUACCUAUAUUUUAAAAUCAUCAUAUAAUUAGUUCAUAUUAAGUUACUCCAUUACCGUUUUGUGGUCUGAACACGUUUAUAGAUAUGUUUCACUCUAAUUGGCUUUCUUCACAUUUUUCUAUUAUUUUAUUCACACACUCAUGAAUAUUCUGAGAAGCGAGCCAUAGCCUUUAUCUGAAUCCCAUCUUAACAUAAGGCCAAGGAGCCUGGUGUGAAACAGGAGGCAAAUGGCUUUGGGGAAUGAAAUGUGCUUUGAUGCCAAGAUGUCCAGGUACCAAGUAGGAGGGAGAUGGGCAGGCAGCACAGAGGAAGCUAUGCUUCGGCUGGGAGGAGCUAAGAGAGAUAUGAGAAAGACAUGCUGUUCAGCCAGAUGGGGCUGUGUGUCCCAUCAAUCACUUAGCAUGACUCUCAGGUUCCCAUUCACUGAACCUUCAGUGAUACAAUCUGCCCUUAAGAAAGAAGGCCGUGAGUCUGGAGGGCUGGGGACACAGGUGAGCAAAACUGUUAGGCGUCGUGACUGGGCACAGUGAGGAGGGGCAUAAAUAGAAGGGGGUGAAAUUAAGGCAAUCUGUUCUGUCAUUUCGCACAAGAGGCAGAUCUGUAUUUUGUUUAUGAUACUGCAGAUCCUUUUAAAUGACAGACGGAAUCCUUAAGGGAUUUGAAGGCACAGAGAGGUAAAUGACAGGAUUGUGCGUGGAAUAAAUCAGGUAUCAUAAAUAGAAACCAUUGAAUUAUGGGAAGAGAGGGGGGAUAGGAGGGAGGGAAGGAGGGAGAGGGGGAGAGGGGGAGAGGGGGAGACUCUGACCAAGACAUGGGAGAGACGGAAAUAACCUAAAAAGGAAAGCAUAACUCAUCCUAUGAUCAAACUCUGCCUAGGUAGAAAUAGCCACACCCUAUGAUUGGUUGUAGAGAAGCCUGGUGCAAGUCACCAGGGCCAUCAGCCUCACAGUCAAGGUAUUCUAGUCACUAUGAGCAGAAGAAGUACUUUCCACUGAUGCUUCCAACUCCCUUACCUGUCACCUCAUUUGUUUCACAGUAAGAGAGAGAGAGGUGGGGGAUUUUCCACUGUCCUCCAUUCUUCAGGGGAAGGCCAAGUGGGGGGGGGGUGUCAUAUAAUAACAAUUUUCUCCGCUGUUCAGAAAAUGAAUCUCCGUGAACUCUGAACAGCUGUGAUUUAGUGUUUUGUUCAGUGGGAGGGUUAAGUGCAGAAGUGCUGAAGGGACAGGUGGCAGUGGGCACGCUUGAGAUUUGGAGAUGCAACAGACCAUUCUCAAGUUUACAGAGACUGACAGUGUCAGCCAUGAGCCAAGGACCAGGGAGGACACAACAGUGUCCAGGUCCCCUGUCAUCAGCGUCAACUGUAGUCCAGGUUCUUUUUCUUUGCCCACAUUCCCCACUAUAUAAACAUCCUAGCAUGCCUACGCUCCUCCUUGAAGAGUCAAGUAACGUGAAGAAUUCCUCCGGAACAACUGGAGUAGAGAAAACCUCUUUACCGCCAGAGCUGUGGGAAUGCUUCAUUUUCCAUCACACAUCAAAAGUAAUGACUGUUCUCCAGGUGGUUUGCAUUUACUGACUUUACAUUGGCUCCUGCAUUUGGAUUCUACAACUAGACGGUUAAUACAUAACCAAAAAAAAAUGUGAAGGACACAGAACUUUCAGGCCACAAUAUUCUCAUAUUCAUUUGUCCCCAGCUGUCAAACUCUAAGAUUUCUGAAAAUCAGAGAAAUCCAGGAAAAUGGUAAUGAUUCAAGUAGCCUUACAUUGAAGCUAAAACACCUAGCCAUAAUCAAAUGUUGUGGUAUGAGUGUUAUGAUCAUGAAGGAAUUGUUUUCUUUCCUUCUUUUGUUGGGCCAGUUAAUUCUAGUUGAACAUCUUAUAUUUGUAUAUCUUAUAUCCUUGACCUCCUUUGGUCAACUGUAACUUGUUACUGGAUAAUUUAGAAAGUUUGGUUGCUUUAAUUAAUGCAUUGCAUUUUGUUUUCAAGCAGUGAUAACAUUGUAAAAUUUUAAAAUAGCUUGUUUUCUGUACCCUACUUUAUUUACUGUUAUAUUUAUUAAUAAUUUAACAUCAUUCAACCUCUCCCUGUCAUGGACAAUAUUACUUAGAUUAACAGAGGGGGAAAAAACCCAUUGAUUUAGGAAAUGGUGAUUCACACCUAUAAUCUCAGCAUUAGAGAGCUGAGGAGGGAGGCAAGUCUGGAACUUAUUGUGAGACCUUGCCUCAAAGAUAACAUACAAACCACACGCAUGCCAACAAAUCCAGCCUGUAGUGUACAGAACUUCCAUGUCUAUCUUCAGCACCUGCCUUAUCAUAUUCACACACCUUAAAUUCCCUUUCUUCGCGUCCUGUUGAGACAAUUAUUUGAUCUCAAGUGACCUUUUGUCAAGAACAUAGCCCAGAAACCUGGAUCAACCUUUGGAAGCAGGUCAGAGGCAGUUAGCAAUUCCUAGAGUCCGUCCAGUAUUCAAAAAACAGCCGGAUUAACGACAACAACAGCAACAGCAGCAGCAGCAGCAGCAACAACAACAACAUCAUCAAGAAAACAUACCCUUUGACCCAUCCAUGCGGAUGGCGUAGUGAAGCCCCCUAAGAGUACAAACAAGGCUAGAAGGCUAACUGCAAUGCCUCUAAUUACUCCCCAUCCAGUGAGAUGCUAUCUGCUCUCAGUUUCUGAAUAUUCCCCCCAUCCAGAAUCAGGCAGAGAACUCCUUUUCUCCCUGGAGUCCUUCAAACACAGCACUGCCAUUUGGUGCCUGUCCCAGGAGCCCUAGAACACUUGAAUUGCACCAGUGUGCGAAUGUUUUGUUGCAAUUCAAAUGCUGCUUGGGCCCUCUUGGACCUCAGAGCUUCUGCUGGAGGAAACACCCGCUGACUGAUGUUGGGCAGGACUCCCACUGACCCACACCCCCUGCUAGGCCCUUGGCCUGCACUAGCCAGGUUAGGCCACCUCAGGCCAGACCUGCUCAGAAGAGGACCCUCGAUAGACCACGAUGCAGGUUCCUGCCUGCAGUUUGUCAUCUCCACCGCUGAUUUCCUGACACCCCAAAGGACCUUGGUUUUCUUCUCAAGGUUAAACAAAACAAAACAAAACUCAAAAAAGAAAAAAAAAACCUUAGCUAGAAAUAAUCAAAAGAAUAACAAUAAUAAGAGGAAAUAAAAGAAAAAGACCCUCCCCACAACAUGAAGAAUCAGAGAUUGCUAUACCCCAUCUGAUGAGCCUGUUAAUUUCGAGAGUUAAUGACAAUCUGCUCAUUCCAAGGCUUCCUGGUUAAUUCCCGGCUGUCUCCCAUGUCCCUCACCUGCCAGCCUUCUCUCUCUGGUGUUUUUCCAGAUCGCAUCCAGCGCCCUGGCGGUGGAAUCCCUGAUGUGGUCGCUGAAGGACCUCCGCAGCGGGCCUCUCAGGGGCCGAGCCAUCACGUGGCCCUCGGGGUCCCCCAUCCACCCUGGAGUGACUUCGGGCGGAUCCCCAGGACCCUCGUUCUUCUCCGGCGCUCAGGACGCAGGCAUUGCGGCUGGCGCUGCGGCCUCGGGACGCGGCUGCAGGCGGCCUCUUGGCCCGUAGCCCAGCGCGCGCCGCGGCCACAUCUGGAAAGGCUUAGGGCCAGCGGCUCCCGCGCCCGCUAUCGGGAUGCGCCCGGUGUAACCCAAUCACCUCGCUCGCUGUGCGGCGCCGCGUCCUGGAGAUGGGAGCCCAGCCGCUCCUUCCCGGAGAUGAAGCAGAGAGCCGAGCAGGCUCUGGGCUCCAGCUGGCAAGCUACAUGACUGCAUCAUCGAGCCAUGCGCGCUCCCGCAGCAGCCCUGUCCUUGCCAACACUUUCUUUGCUUAGCAAUGCCUCAGAUCUUCUUUUCCAGUUUCAAGGCUCCUGUCCCCAUAUCCACUCCAGCUUCUUCGGACAACUCCAGCUCCCUCAGCUAAAAUGUUCUGUGUAUCCUGAGAAUUUUACAGCCUAGUGCUCGCCACUUAUCUUGCUCAGCAGGCUGCUUUCGCACUGAAGGGACGCGCUCUCAAGACCUAGAGAGAGGAAAUCCUGAGACAACUAAACAAGCAAAGCAGGAAGGCAGCGCAUACCAACAUCACUUGCACCCAGCGCCGUUCCCCUUAUCACAUCAUUCAAGUGCAAGGCAGAGGAAGUGAGAGCUGAAGAGAACAGAGCACUAAUGUUGGCUGCACUUAGAUCAAACUGGAGUGGGGAACAUCGGUUCCAUCAAGGGGAACCUGAAGCCUGUGGCCUCCCUAAAGAACCCAGAGCAUGUUUGGAUUUGUGGAACGUUUACUCAGUAUCACCGGGCUGUUUCUAUGGUGACAAAAUUGUGAAGAAGAUGCUCCUGGUGUUGUUUUUCCCACCAUGUCUGAGUAUCUUUGGUCCUGUCACCGUUUUCUUUUACUCUGAGGCACUUAGUCCUUUUCCUAUCAUGCUCUUUAAUGUUAACGAGGGCCUAACAGCCACUUCCUCAACUUACAAAGCCCAGGAUUCUUUUUUUUUUUCCAGAGCUGGGGACUGAACCCAGGGCCUUGGGCUUGCUAGGCAAGCGCUUUACCAAUGAGCUAAAUCCCCAACCCCAAAGCCCAGGAUUCUUAUUGCUUUGGUGUUUGAUAAUAACACUCUCUGGGCUGCUUCAAGAUGUAAAGAGCUUAGCUCUGAAAGAAGGAAGGGCAUAUGUGCAGGGCUGUAGGGAACUUUACAUGUAAAACAAGAACGUGGCCCA
RNAcentral lists this small RNA (5306 nucleotides) under Rattus norvegicus (Norway rat). RNAcentral's name for it is "uncharacterized LOC108348402". The record is from RNAcentral. Lineage: Eukaryota; Metazoa; Chordata; Mammalia; Rodentia; Muridae.